Electrophorus electricus (electric eel) is the source of this 1051-nucleotide long non-coding RNA. RefSeq lists it as uncharacterized. The record is from RefSeq and is a predicted model, not a curated record. NCBI's taxonomy places the organism in Eukaryota, Metazoa, Chordata, Actinopteri, Gymnotiformes, Gymnotidae.
UCCUGUUUCGUAGCCACACCUGCAUUGUGUUAGUCUUUGUGUAUUUAAACUCUUGUCGUUGUGUGCGCUGUUGUCGGGUAUUGUUGGCUUAAAUGUUCAUCCUUGUCGAGGAAGUCUGUGCAUCCUGCUCCACGCCCUUCGGUACUCGUGCAAACGUUACACUGGCUUACUUUCGCACAAAGAUACCGUCAUUGCCACCAUGAAGGAAAGAACUCGCGGUUCUACCACUGAACCGUGAUGAUUAGUGUCCAAUAGAGCGCACACAAACAACGAAGAAUGCUAUGCUAUGGGAUGUAAAGACCUUCCUGGCCACAUGGUGGUGCUGUGAGGUUGUCACAAUUACAUGCAGAUUCUUCUGCAAAUAAAUAUUCAAGGGAUGACUCAUCAUACUGGCUCCCAUGCGGCACAAAUACACUCAUAUACACACACACACACACACACACACACACACACCAAAAAAAAAAAACCUGCAGUGGGGAAUACCAAUAGUCCCUAAGAGACUGUAUAUUCAAAACUGUAAAAAUGUUUUCAGAACAUGCUGCACCAGUGCCUAUUUCAUUUAUUUUAUAUGACAUCUGGGUCACCACAGCAGGACUCUGAAUAAUGUAAUAUUGUGAUGUUUAAUCGAAUAAUUUUCAGGUUACCCUCGUGCUGUUUCAGACUUCUAUAUCUCACCAUCCCCUUUCUGUGUUCAUAUUGUCCUUCCCUUUUGGGAGGUCUGUGGUCUUUAGCGUGGCCUAGCAGACUUUAUCCAACAAUGGCUUUAUGUCAGUUAUAUAUGUAAUCAGACGUGUGUGUGUGUGUGUGUGUGAGAGAGAGAGAGAGAAAGAGCAAGAGAAGCACAUGCCUCGUCAGGAAGGAGAAACCCAGAGAUGACACUCAUCUGAAUACAUCUGUGUCUGAUGGCAAUUUUGUCAUAUGUUAGUGGCAUUAAUAUUCACCAUUCAUAUAACUCACUUUAUUUCCAAAGUUUUCUGUCUGUGAAAGCAGUAAAUGCAAUCACGAGGGUUUUAUGACCCUUUAUUCUUUGGCCCCUCCCAUGGCCCCACCC